AUUGAACGCUGGCGGCAUGCUUUACACAUGCAAGUCGAACGGUAACAGGCCGCAAGGUGCUGACGAGUGGCGAACGGGUGAGUAAUGCAUCGGAACGUGCCCGGUCGUGGGGGAUAACACUUCGAAAGAAGUGCUAAUACCGCAUACGAUCUAUGGAUGAAAGCGGGGGACCGUAAGGCCUCGCGCGAUCGGAGCGGCCGAUGUCAGAUUAGGUAGUUGGUGGGGUAAAGGCUCACCAAGCCAACGAUCUGUAGCUGGUCUGAGAGGACGACCAGCCACACUGGGACUGAGACACGGCCCAGACUCCUACGGGAGGCAGCAGUGGGGAAUUUUGGACAAUGGGCGCAAGCCUGAUCCAGCAAUGCCGCGUGCAGGAAGAAGGCCUUCGGGUUGUAAACUGCUUUUGUACGGAACGAAAAGGUCCUGGCUAAUACCCGGGGCUGAUGACGGUACCGUAAGAAUAAGCACCGGCUAACUACGUG
RNAcentral lists this ribosomal RNA (482 nucleotides) under uncultured bacterium. RNAcentral describes it as "bacterial SSU rRNA". It matches the Rfam family "Bacterial small subunit ribosomal RNA", at positions 30 to 507 of the family's 1533-position model. The record is from RNAcentral.